CCCAGCACCACCAACAUCAUCACCAGCACCACCAACAUCACCACCAGCACCACCCCCAGCACCACCAACAUCAUCACCAGCACCACCAACAUCACCACCAACAUCACCACCAGCACCACCAACAUCACCACCAGCACCACCAACAUCAUCAGCACCAUCGGUGACCACCCCUAGUAACUCUCCUGUUACCAUCAUUGUUGUGGUUCUGCUGCUGAUUGGAGGAGCAGCUCUGGUCUUUUUUAUUGUGAUUCACAAGAAGAAACAAGGCUCCACCCCUUCCAAAAGAACCAAUCAGAGUGACCAAAAAGAGGUUCCUGCUGUGGUCAGUAAUGAUGAAGAGACUGCACUCACCACCCCAACUCCACCCAAAGACCAAGAUCUCACCUACUCCACCCCAACUCCACCCAAAGACCAAGAUCUCACCUACUCCACCUUAACUCCACCCAAAGACCAAGAGCUCACCUACUCCACUGUGAGUUUCCAUAAGAACCCAGGUUCUCCCACUGAUGAUUCAGUUAGCGUUAAUAAGGAGGAACCUGAAACUGAGUACUCCACCGUCAAAAAUCUCAAAGAACUGGAGUAACUCUGGUGUAAAAUGUAAUUUUGUUGUAGUAAAACAUGAUCAAAAGUUCUUACCUUUGAUGAAUAGCACGCCUCCGCUCUCCCACAGCGUUCAGAGAUCCAGAAAGUUUAACAAAUUCUCCAACAAACACCCUUCAGACUGGGCGAUACGGAGCAUAAUUUACCCUGAUAAAUCACUUUUUACACUGUAAUCCAAAGUAGCUCCACACCUCCUUACUAGAAUCUGGAGAGCCCUGAUAUUUAAAACGAGGCAUUAAUAACUUAAAAAGUGCAGAAGAAGAUCAUUAAAAAAAUACUAAUUACAUCCUAUAACACUCCUAUAAAGCUUCGAGCACCGCCAUCACUGUACUGAUAAUGACAUAGACAUAAAUACACAUAGACUCCACAUAGCAAAGCAGCCGGCGCCAGGAGGCAGGCAAUGCGGAGUCUAUGUAUAUAUAUAUAUAUAUAUAUAUAUAUAUAUAUAUAUAUAUAUAUAUAUAUAUAUGUCUAUGUUAUUAUCAGUACAGUGAUGGCGGCGCUUGGAGCUGAAGCUAGUGGCAUUAUGGGAUGUAAGCUAUGUUUUGGAUAAACUGUUAAAAUUUCUGGAUCUCUGAACGCUGUGGGAGAACAGAGGUGAGCUUUUCAUGAAAGGUAAGAACUUUUUAUCAUGUUUUACUACAACAAAAGUCCAUUUUACACCAGAGUUCUCCUUUAAUCAGCUCUGAACUAACUGUUCAUCACCAACUUACGGAAAGUUAUUAUAUAUGUAUAUUAAUCUAUAAUAUAUUAUAGAAUACUAUACUGAGGAUUUAUCUUGAUGUGUUUGAUGUGUAAAUGCUCAGAUAUUGUUUAACAAGUCUAUUUACAACCCUGUUAUUUUGCCUCAGAAUGGAACAGGUUAGUUUCUGUUUUGUCAAUCAAUCAACCUUUAUUUUAACUCAGGAAAACAUUGAGGGCAACCCUUAUUUACAAGGUUGCCGAGCAUUAACAACAUCAGAGGAAUUGAAAAUAUUUAGUAAGAAAUAAAAAUAAUAAAGAAAAGUAAUACUAGUUUAUA
This 1621-nucleotide long non-coding RNA is filed under the name Astyanax mexicanus (Mexican tetra). RNAcentral's name for it is "lncRNA (ENSAMXG00005008874.1)". Lineage: Eukaryota; Metazoa; Chordata; Actinopteri; Characiformes; Acestrorhamphidae. The record is from RNAcentral.